This 233-nucleotide unclassified non-coding RNA is filed under the name Hevea brasiliensis (rubber tree). Lineage: Eukaryota; Viridiplantae; Streptophyta; Magnoliopsida; Malpighiales; Euphorbiaceae. The record is from RNAcentral.
GAGCAAGGUUUCUUGGAGUGAUACUGUUCAUGCAGGUUUUCCAGGAAGAGAGUUCUUGGAUGGAAAAUGAGCAGCAGUGGAUUGUUGUUGAGGAUGAGUAGUUGUGGAAGGAUUUUUAGCUCUUUCAUUGACAGUAGUUGUGGAACCUUCACUGCUAUGACCCACCACUGCUAUUCCUGCGUUUGCCUGUACUAAUGGCUCUCCUAGCCGCCCAUCGCCAGUCAGUAUCUCCG